This 273-nucleotide ribosomal RNA is filed under the name uncultured eukaryote. RNAcentral's name for it is "partial small subunit ribosomal RNA". The record is from RNAcentral.
UCAUCGCCUCAAUGGUAUGCUGGACGUGAAGCGGGCCAUCGGUGAAUAUCGCUAUGGCGUCGAUAUCUUUAGCGAGCACCAAUUCCUCAAGUGAGUUGUAGGCCUUCUGGCAAUUAUAAACCUUCAUCAAUCGCUUGCGCCGGUCCUCGCGCAGGUCACUGACGGCCUGAACGAUGCAGUCCGGAUGCUCGUGCCACUGAAAGGCGGUCCCAAAACCUCCUCCAACAACACCGAUGCGAACUUUUUUAGGAGCGGUAUUGACAGCUAACACGG